This 405-nucleotide ribosomal RNA is filed under the name uncultured bacterium. RNAcentral's name for it is "partial 16S ribosomal RNA". It matches the Rfam family "Bacterial small subunit ribosomal RNA", at positions 355 to 751 of the family's 1533-position model. The record is from RNAcentral.
UGGGGAAUAUUGCACAAUGGGCGCAAGCCUGAUGCAGCCAUGCCGCGUGUGUGAAGAAGGCCUUCGGGUUGUAAAGCACUUUCAGCGAGGAGGAAGGCGUUAAGGUUAAUAACCUUAGCGAUUGACGUUACUCGCAGAAGAAGCACCGGCUAACUCCGUGCCAGCAGCCGCGGUAAUACGGAGGGUGCAAGCGUUAAUCGGAAUUACUGGGCGUAAAGCGCACGCAGGCGGUUUGUUAAGUCAGAUGUGAAAUCCCCGAGCUUAACUUGGGAACUGCAUUUGAAACUGGCAAGCUAGAGUCUUGUAGAGGGGGGUAGAAUUCCAGGUGUAGCGGUGAAAUGCGUAGAGAUCUGGAGGAAUACCGGUGGCGAAGGCGGCCCCCCUGGACAAAGACUGACGCUCAGG